CCUACGGGUGGCAGCAGUGGGGGAUAUUGCACAAUGGGGGGAACCCUGAUGCAGCGACGCCGCGUGGGUGAAGAAGCGCCUCGGCGCGUAAAGCCCUGUCAGCAGGGAAGAAAAUGACGGUACCUGAAGAAGAAGCCCCGGCUAACUACGUUCCAGCAGCCGCGGUAAUACGUAGGGGGCAAGCGUUAUCCGGAUUUACUGGGUGUAAAGGGGGCGCAGACGGCGAUGCAAGCCAGGCGUGAAAGCCCGGGGCGCAAACCCGGGACUGCGUGUGGAACUGUGGGGCUGGAGGGCAUGAGGGGUAGGGGGAAUUCCGGGUGUAGCGGUGCAAUGCGGAGAGAUCAGGAGGAACACCGGGGGCGAAGGCGGCCUGCUGGACUGCAACUGACGUUGAGGCCCGAAAGAGUGGGGAGCAAACAGGAUUAGAGACCCGGGUAGUC
RNAcentral lists this ribosomal RNA (440 nucleotides) under uncultured bacterium. RNAcentral describes it as "partial 16S ribosomal RNA". It matches the Rfam family "Bacterial small subunit ribosomal RNA", at positions 338 to 795 of the family's 1533-position model. The record is from RNAcentral.